GGGGCUGGAGAGAUGGCUUAGCGGUU
RNAcentral lists this non-coding RNA (26 nucleotides) under Cricetulus griseus (Chinese hamster). RNAcentral also lists the same sequence under 1 other name. Lineage: Eukaryota; Metazoa; Chordata; Mammalia; Rodentia; Cricetidae. The record is from RNAcentral.